AUCCAUGUAGCGCAAUGGAUAGUGCAUUGGACUUCUAAUCCAACAGUGUUGGGUUCAAAUCCCAUCUGGGAUG
This is a non-coding RNA of Trichonephila clavipes, 73 nucleotides long. NCBI's taxonomy places the organism in Eukaryota, Metazoa, Arthropoda, Arachnida, Araneae, Nephilidae. The record is from the annotation of a GenBank genome assembly.